Gasterosteus aculeatus aculeatus (three-spined stickleback) is the source of this 2651-nucleotide long non-coding RNA. The record is from Ensembl. Lineage: Eukaryota; Metazoa; Chordata; Actinopteri; Perciformes; Gasterosteidae.
CUCUGCUCUGUCCCGCUGUGUGCCAGUCCCGCUCUGCCUCUCCACUCUCAGCUCUCUCCACUCGUCCUUUCUACAUCCCUCCACCGCUUCUCUUCCUCUUAUCACUGAUAGCAAGCCGGAUCUCGGGCCGCUACUUCCACCACCACCAAACUGCCCCCUGGAGAAUUUACUUUCACCUACUUUUUCUUUUUCAAUUCUGCUGUCCUGCACCUUCCCCUCCGGAGAGGCCGGUUGGUGCGUGUCUGGCGCGUGCGAGAGCUCCGGUGUCGCGCUCUUUGCCCCCCCCCCGAGGGAAUCCCUGGCGGUUGUCUGAGUCGGAGGAGAAGAACUUUUUUCGCCACGAUGAACGUUCAGCUGCUGCUGGUGUUGGCCCUGGUCGGCCCUUUCUGUGCCUUUACACAUGCAAGCCACAUCAGUGACAGCCGCAGGUCCACACACACACACACACACACACACAAGCACGUUCAGUAUAAGCCGACUGGCCCUUUUACGAUUGGCCCCACAGAGAUCCCCAAAGACCUUGAUGAGAGCGACGGUGCCGUAGCAGACCUUGGACCUGCCGUUACAGAAGCUUCGGCAAUGGACUUGACUGUUACCCCUGACCCUCCUGCAACCGAACCAGAGACGUCCCCAGAAGAUGUUGCGGCAACGGAAGGAGCCGCGACAACGGAAGCAGCCGCGGCAACAGAAGCAGCCACGGCAACGGAAGCAGCCGCUUCAACGGAAGUUGUCACCGGGACGGCGCUCCCCAGCACUGCAUUGAAUACCGAAGACACUGUGAAAACGGAAGCCCCAGCUGCUUCUACUGCAUCACCAGAACCCAUAGUCACUGUAGUGGACAUAACAGACCCCAGUAACACAGCAGAGGGUGAAGUCCAGCCAACGGAAGCAGUGACAGAAAAAGCGGUGGUUGUUGAAGAACAGUCAGAUGAGGGCAUGAGCUCUGGCCAGGUAGUCGGGGUCGUGAUUGGCGCUCUGUUGGCAGUGGUCAUCGCCAUCGCCGUGGUGAUCGCUGUGGUGAGGAGGAUGGGAAAAUACUCCCCUUGAGGAAGAAGUCGGCCAAGCGGCGGGAGCGUUUAAAGUUCUGGAAAUCCUGAACUACUGAACUGUGACGUCAUUCACGACCAUUAAAACAAGCACCAUACCGUAACUAAACUAAUCUAACCAGCACUCUGGACUUUUGCCAAAUAGGGGGAGGGAGGCUAGUAUGUGUUAAUGUAUGAACUGUAUGUAUGUGAGACGAGGGGUACAUGAGCAGACAUCCUCAUCUUCCCUGUCGCAUCCCUCCCCACUGCUCCCCCGGAGAGAACAAAACAAGGUGACGGCAGGAUGUAGUUUGGAAUUUCAGGCCUUUUUUAAAAGCAUUUUGUUUAGAAAAAAAGAGAGAAAGGAAUGUAGAGGAUUAUCUGACCUUUAGGCAUAAAACGUAUCCCUCAAAGAAUGACCGAUGACACAAAUGGAUAUUACUGAAAAAACAAAAGGAAGUUAAUUACAAAUGGAAGGUGCCAGCAGUAGAAAUUGCUCCAAAUUCCACAGAAUGUAUAUAUACCACGCAAGGGGACUACAUAGCACACAGCUAAUGACUUUCUCAUAUGUUGCAGUUGCAUAGGCGAGCGUUUGUUAUUAUAGAAUACACAGUACAUACAGGCAGGCUGCUGUUGUGGCUACCAGAACUUUUAAAGCAACCCUGAGCACCAGUUAAAAUAUUUUCUCAUGUAGCCAGAAUCCCUGAUAUGUCGGCCAACCGUCUGCAGCACCGUGUGCACGAGUUGUUUUGACACAGCGCGCCCAUGAGCGCUGAGGGCGAGCACGCAGCGAACGGGAAAGAAAAGGCACCCUCGUUUGCAAGAGCAACGUGACAUUCUGCCCACUUUAACACUGACGUAUAAAAACCUAAUACAUAUCUGUGAAAUUCAGCAGAAGGGUUUGUGCCACUGUCUCUGGUAUUCUCUAGGUAGUUUGGAGGACUUUAACUUUUGAAGUGCAUUAUUAAUGUGAAUUGACUGUACCUUUUUAACUGCCACCCAUUCCAGACAGAACAGCUAGUAUGACUUGUUCCAUAUUAAAGCUUACGAAACAGCCCUUGGUUAUUAGACAUAGUGAUAGCAUUGUCUUGAGAAUGUCUUCAUAGUACUUUUGUUAAUAGUUAGAUUACCAGAACAGCAAACCGGUCCUUAAAAUGAGCUAACCCCCCCGAUUGCGUGCACAGGUUGACAUUUUAUAGUUUCACUUAGUUUUAGUACACAGUAUUAGGCAGUAAUGCCCUAUUUUGUUAUUGUUGCAAUUGUAAGUGUGCCGAAUGGGUGUACAAAUAAUGAAGUCUCAGCUUCGCUCUGCUUGCUUUACAAACUCGUUUAACAUGUGCACUCAAUGAGUGAUGUAAUGUUUAAUGAAUAGGUUUUAGACACUGCAAAAGUUUGCAACGACAUGUCUUUGUUUCCUCUCCUCAGCUUUGCCACGUACCAUCAGCUCUAGGUUUAAUUUGUGCCAUUGGAUCUAUUCAAACCCUUUUAUUUAAUUGCAGUGUUUUUGUUCAUACUGUUUCAAUAAUAAACUGAAAACACUCUUAAAAAAAACGUUUUUGUCUUUCGCGCAUGAAGUUUCUCAAUAGCUUUUUCAAAAAUCUGGUUAUCGUCGACGCCAUUUCCAAU